RNAcentral lists this ribosomal RNA (253 nucleotides) under uncultured bacterium. RNAcentral's name for it is "partial 16S ribosomal RNA". It matches the Rfam family "Bacterial small subunit ribosomal RNA", at positions 57 to 305 of the family's 1533-position model. The record is from RNAcentral.
GCAAGUCGAGGGGUAACAGGGAUUGCUUGCAAUCCGCUGACGAGUGGCGCACGGGUGAGUAUCGCGUAUGCAAUCUGCCUUUAACUGAGAGAUAGCCCAGAGAAAUUUGGAUUAAUACCUCAUAAUAUUGUGAUUUGGCAUCACUUCACAAUUAAAGCUUCGGCGGUUAAAGAUGAGCAUGCGUCCUAUUAGCUUGUUGGUAAGGUAACGGCUUACCAAGGCAACGAUAGGUAGGGGGCCUGAAAGGGUGAUC